RNAcentral lists this ribosomal RNA (391 nucleotides) under uncultured bacterium. RNAcentral's name for it is "bacterial SSU rRNA". It matches the Rfam family "Bacterial small subunit ribosomal RNA", at positions 102 to 507 of the family's 1533-position model. The record is from RNAcentral.
ACGGGUGAGUAACGCGUGAGCAAUCUGCCUUUCAUUACGGGAUAACGGCCGGAAACAGCCGCUAAUACCGUAUAAAGUAUACGGAUCGCAUGUUCUGUAUACCAAAGAUUUAUUGAUGAAAGAUGAGCUCGCGUCUGAUUAGAUAGUUGGUGAGGUAACGGCUCACCAAGUCGACGAUCGGUAGCCGGACUGAGAGGUUGAACGGCCACAUUGGAACUGAGAUACGGUCCAGACUCCUACGGGAGGCAGCAGGUGGGGAAUAUUGGGCAAUGGGCGAAAGCCUGACCCAGCGACGCCGCGUGCGGGAAGAAGGUCUUCGGAUUGUAAACCGCUGUAGACAGGGACGAAGAAAGUGACGGUACCUGUAAAGUAAGCCACGGCUAACUACGUG